Molecule: long non-coding RNA, 1516 nt
Filed under: Anas platyrhynchos platyrhynchos (common mallard)
Lineage: Eukaryota; Metazoa; Chordata; Aves; Anseriformes; Anatidae
Description: lncRNA (ENSAPLG00000030364.1)
Source: RNAcentral
UUUUCUGAUGCUGGUGUCACUGCUGGGCAGUAUGCGAGGGCCAGAGGGAGAUUCAGACGCACUGAUUGUAAUUACAGAACUGCCAAGGCCUCCAGGAAAAAUAGCAAGCAUCAGGCUGCAUUAAUCUUCACUGGAUCUCCCGUGACUUCUGCGCGAUUUCAGAGGGACCAGAAGAAAUCGCUCUGUGUAGGAAAUCCAGCUUGCAAAGCCACCAUUUGCUCACAGAAGGUUUCUCCCGCUACUCGUCUCCUUUUAAAAACAGGUUCCUCCUACCGUACGCAAGAUGAACUUUUUUUUUUCCCAAGGAGUAAUUAGCUCCUGUAGUUUCAUUGCCCCCUGAAAUCAUUGCUUCUGGUGAGAGGAACAGCAGUAAUGAAGUACUACUUAACAUUCACACAGGGCUUUUCAUCAGUCACUCUCCAGGCUUUUCACAAAAGAAGGUGUCCUUUUGCAGAUGGGGACACAGAGACAGCAUGACUACGAAACCUUUGGGAAGUCACUAUAAGGUGGUAGCCCAGGCGGGCUGGCCACACAAUCUGGUGGCCCCUCCAUGGACCACAUUGCCCCCCUCACCACAGUUGCCAUAGCAGCCUCUAUAGAUGCCACUGCUAGAAGAUGAUCUCCAAUUCACGCAUCACAGAUGCAGCUUUGCCACCCACAGAUGAGCCCCUUGAAGUGUGGAAAAGCCACUGGACGAAAUAUCCUUCUACACUCAUGAUCACCAAGAGAAGCCCAGGCCUCCUGAAGGGUCUUCAGAGGCUUGCACGAAACCUGAGGAAGUUUCAGGCAAAGCGGGAAUGAGAAAUGUGGCCACUUGCCUGUUGGACCAAGCUCUGUCCAAUCUGUCUGACGUGAGGAAGACCCAAGAAAUGAGUGCUGAGUAUUAUCCAAAUGCAUGAAUCUCACUAUCUCCAAUGAGAGCUGACCUGCACAUUUUUGGACAGCUUGAUAUUUCCUGGACAGAGUUAUAGGACAGUGGUGGGCUCUCCACAGCCAUUUUGUGCGCUGUGGAGUCCCCACUUGGCUGGCUGGAAGGCAGACAAAGCUUGGGCUGUGUGAGCAUCCCCAUUGCAAGAGUCUCCUUGCAGUGCUUCAACACGUCUUGAAAUUACAAACUCCAAGGCUGAUAUUUUUCAGACCCAGUCUCUUACCCAAGGAUGGAUUUUUAUUAUUUUGUUUUUAUUUUUGAAAGCUUGAGCAAGCAAGGGCUUGGUUGUUUAAGAUACUUGGGACUGGGGGAGUGCUUUAUGAUUAGUGGAAGAAACAAUUUGUGCCUUUUCUUAACAGUUCCAGUGCUGAAAUUACUGUGGAUAGAGAGCUGAAAGGCAAAUAAUGUGAGGCAAGGUUUGUAGGAAGAGGCAAUAUCUUUUAUUAAACUAAAGAAUAUAGCCGAAAAAAACAAACCAAACCUAAACAGCUUUCCAGGUAUAUGGGCUUGCACACCUGAAAAUGUAUCCGUAGUUACAGCAAUAUAAAGCCAAAUAAAUGAUAGUCCUUCUCUGUAAAAAUCUGCGUU